RNAcentral lists this ribosomal RNA (440 nucleotides) under uncultured bacterium. Its description in RNAcentral is "partial 16S ribosomal RNA". It matches the Rfam family "Bacterial small subunit ribosomal RNA", at positions 338 to 795 of the family's 1533-position model. The record is from RNAcentral.
CCUACGGGGGGCAGCAGUGGGGAAUAUUGCACAAUGGGGGAAACCCUGAUGCAGCGACGCCGCGUGAAGGAAGAAGUAUUUCGGUAUGUAAACUUCUAUCAGCAGGGAAGAAAAUGACGGUACCUGACUACGAAGCCCCGGCUAACUACGUGCCAGCAGCCGCGGUAAUACGUAGGGGGCAAGCGUUAUCCGGAUUUACUGGGUGUAAAGGGAGCGUAGACGGGGUGCCAAGUCUGGUGUGAAAGGCCGGGGCUCAACCCCGGGACUGCAGUGGAAACUGGCAUGCUGGAGUGCCGGAGGGGCAAGCGGAAUGCCUAGUGUAGCGGUGAAAUGCGUAGAUAUCAGGAGGAACACCGGUGGCGAAGGCGGCUUGCUGGACGGUAACUGACGUUGAGGCUCGAAAGCGUGGGUAGCAAACAGGAUUAGAUACCCGAGUAGUC